CAGCCGCCGCGGUAAUACGGAGGGUGCAAGCGUUAAUCGGAAUUACUGGGCGUAAAGCGCACGCAGGCGGUCUGUCAAGUCAGAUGUGAAAUCCCCGGGCUUAACCUGGGAACUGCAUUUGAAACUGGCAGGCUAGAGUCUUGUAGAGGGGGGUAGAAUUCCAGGUGUAGCGGUGAAAUGCGUAGAGAUCUGGAGGAAUACCGGUGGCGAAGGCGGCCCCCUGGACAAAGACUGACGCUCAGGUGCGAAAGCGUGGGGAGCAAACAGGAUUAGAUACCGAGUAGUCCCUGUCUCUUAUACA
RNAcentral lists this ribosomal RNA (301 nucleotides) under uncultured bacterium. RNAcentral's name for it is "partial 16S ribosomal RNA". It matches the Rfam family "Bacterial small subunit ribosomal RNA", at positions 509 to 808 of the family's 1533-position model. The record is from RNAcentral.